UUAGCGCUCCAUCAAACAUGACCUAGAUGUGCUAAAUUGACCUAAAAUUAAUCGAUUAUGACUAACCGAUGCAACACUCCUUAUCUUUUCCAGGGGCAAAAUACUGAAUCGGUGACUGGAAUAUAGCAUUUUGAACCCAUCAAUUGAUGACUGGAUUGGAGUAUUUUCACUAGCAAAUUUCAAAUAAAAAUGGUUUUUCUCUUUCAUUGAUUUUCUUCAUUCAUUAACUGGUAAGGUCGUUCUAGUAUUUUCUUUCCAGCACCUCCAUCUACCUCCCUGAAACUCCGAGAACUUAUCCUCCCCAUUUGUGUUCUGCACCAAUUAAGUAUCAAUAUGCAAAUUACAUGAAUCCCGAUUAUGCAAAUACAAGCAAUGGAUCAUUAAGGCUUCAAUUGAUCAAGCAGAGAUCCGACUUCUCUAUGAAAUUGGCUCGAUCCGAUGACUAAAAUGAGAUAGCCUGAUGGGCAAAAUGUCGAGUGACAAAACACUUGGAUGUAGAGACGAUGCUUUCAACACAUUCUUCAGCGAAACCUGGGCAAGAAAUUAACUACGUCCCACGUGCCAUUUUCAGGUGUGAGCAACUUGGAGUACAAAUUAGAGAUGUGUCCACUCCAUCUCACUAUUUCAACUCUUUGCUAUCUCGGUUAUUUGUUUCGGAAGGUUACAGUCAAGAGAGUGAGAAUUCUUAGUUAUGUUAGCUUAAGGAAACUCUUAUGUUAAGCAAGAAUUCUAGGUUUAUGUUAGCUUAGAAAAACUCUGAUGUUAGAUUUCAUUCCACUAAGGUUCUUAUUUGCUAUGUCUGAAUGCAACUAAUGGAAUUACACAGGUUUGAUAACAUAUGUUGUGUUAGACUAUUUUAUGAACUUGGUUAGGUGGACCAUGUUUGAAGUUUAUUCUUAGAACAUAAAAUUU
Rhododendron vialii is the source of this 912-nucleotide long non-coding RNA. RefSeq lists it as uncharacterized. The transcript is spliced from 3 exons. The record is from RefSeq and is a predicted model, not a curated record. Lineage: Eukaryota; Viridiplantae; Streptophyta; Magnoliopsida; Ericales; Ericaceae.